Long non-coding RNA from Sycon ciliatum, 687 nucleotides. RefSeq lists it as uncharacterized. The record is from RefSeq and is a predicted model, not a curated record. The transcript has 3 exons. Lineage: Eukaryota; Metazoa; Porifera; Calcarea; Leucosolenida; Sycettidae.
AGCUACAUGUGUGAGAAAAGCAGAGCUCACAUUGCUGUGUAUGCCAAUACGGCAACUUUGUCACAGGCGAAGGAGCAGUGCAGGCGCCUAGGCGGACGGUUACCCGCUGGAGGUGAUGAGGUCGACUGCCUAAAUCACGCUUUGACUACAAUGAGGGGAGGUUCUCCAGCCAAGGGAAACAAGCCAUGGGUAGAGAAAUAUGAUGAACAACCACUCAAUGUGGCAUCACCCAGCUACACUUUGCAUGACAGCAAGGAGAGAGCGAAGUGGCAUGUCGCACGACAAAUGCACACUGUGGCAUGUGCUUUCAAUCUGACCUCGUUCUUUGAUGCCUCGCCAACUAUACCCGGAAUCAGAUGUCCCUACCACCCAUCGACUAUCAUCAAGUAUUUCCCCGUGGAUAUGACAUUUGCCAAAGCAACCUUACAUUGCAAGACGUUCAAUGCAAAGAUCGCAUCUAAGACCUCGUGCGUGCAGGACUUCCUGCGUCCCAGGGGCAGCUUUGCCUGGUUGGCCAGCCAACACGGCCAUUUACAGUAUGCGAGUGACGAAAAACUUUAUGAUCUAACAUCUGACCCAGCACCCAAGCACAAGGUUGUGUGUGAACUUGAAUCGGGUAAGCUACUUUAACCAUAGGUCAGUGUUGUUCGCUUGCCUCACCAGCACAGGCUUGCUUUGCACCCCCUA